CUUGGAUCUUAGAAUCUGCACAUCACAAUGGGGCUGUGUCCAAGCUGCAGACAAGACUGUGUAGCCACUUACCGAGCCAGCUUCAGGGACAAGCCUACAUUGGGCUCGGUCUCAAAUAGGUACUGCUGCCUGUAGAAGGACAUGACCCUGGUGGGCUACUGCAUUGCCACAGAAGUGGAGGCAUUGCAUCACUUCCAUUCCCAAGGGGUCAGCAUCAGCCCCUGUCUGCAGUGUCCCACAGGCUUGGCCUCCUCUCUCCUCCUUCAUCAUUUAUCUGAUUCCCCUUCCUUGUUAUACGUUUUGCCUCCAUAAAAAGAGAGAGUACAUGCAUGCACGAGUGGGAGAGGAGCAGAGACAGGCAGAGAGAGAAUCCCAAGCAGACUCCACACUCAGCACAGAGGCUGACACGGGGCUCCAUCCCACAACCAUGAGAUCAUGACCAUCUUAAAGUAUCUCUGAGCAAACAGGGUAACUUUCUUUAUUUUCAGUAACUUAAGGAAUCAAGUACAUGACAAUAUCCAAGGGAGGAAGAAGGGAGAAGACCAUUAAAUACUAACUUAGGUGAACUUCCAACUUCUAGAACUUUGUCUCUAGGGAAGGACAAGAUUUCCUGAAAGGUCGUUCCUCCCCUUAGUUGAGCCUUUUAAAACAAGAAAGAAAUGAAUUUCACAGGAGUGUGGACUGUUAACUAAAUUUUCAGGCAAGAUUGUUUUGAUUAAAAUUAUCAUGGUAACAAUACCUGAGUGAAAAGUGGUUCUUCUGUUUAUUUUUCUUCCACUAUAAGCACAAUCUGUGGGUUUUGUUUGCUUGUUUGUUCCUUUUUACUCACCUAAUUGCAUUUCCAAGCUGGAAAAUAUACAUUUAGCUAUAGAAUAGGAUUCUCUGGGUUUCUUAUUAUCAACUAAAAAUGUAACUGAGGAUGAGGAUCCUGUUCAGCUGCAGUUUGGGGGUGCUUUGUGGCAGUUAACAUGGGAGGAGAAGGGUAAGUUGACAGUCCACCGAAAUGGAAGGGCUGAUAAGGCAGUCUCUUCACCAGGCUGUGAUGCAACUGGUCUGGACAUGCCAAACUUUGGAUUUUCUACGGUACCGAGGUUAGGAGGAGAGAAUAGGAAGUGGACAUCAUGGCAAAUACAAAGAGGACAAAAGAGCAUUUUUCCAUUACCUCAAGCCUUUCCCAGAUACCUUAUAAGUAACGCAGAUGAAUAACUGGAUUCCCUCCUUCCUUGCUUUGCCAUACUCUUGGGGAGUCUUACAAGGGAGUAGGGACCCAGAUAAACCUCGAACUGGUAGUCUACAUUCGUUGUGUCUUAUAAUCUUUCCAGUCCAAUAGGUGGUGGGGGUGUGAACCAAACUUACUGUAUAUAUCUUAAUCUCAAAGUAGAAAUAGCAGCCUUGAGUUCUGGAAGUAGAACACAGUGAUAAUGUGAGUCCGAAUGUUUUGAUAUAAAAAGGGAGUGUUGAUUAUUUCCCCUGCAUGAGGUAAACAUCACCUGGAAUCUAGAUGUGUGGACAAAAUGAAAGAUACCAAUUAAGACUCGUUAUCAUUAGCCUUGUGACUCCAAUAGACAAACUAAACAUUCCCUUUGUGCAAUGAGAACAGUCAUAAUAGAAAGAAGAGGGUAGCCUGGGCAAAAUGCUGAUGCUCUCUGUGGGCUUCCUCUCUGAGUCCUUUUUCCCACUCUCACUUGUCACACACACAAGCUAAUUGUAGCUAAGAUGUCAGUUUCAAAGUUUAAGGUUUGACUUUCACAACCGUGACAUUUAAGUAAGGGUCCUUUGAAGCCCAAGAGUUUUCCAAAUGUGGAUGUGAACAGCUGAACUUAGAUACUAAUAGCUCUUGCAUGUGGGUUGGCAGAAGGAUGGAGGCAGGACCACUAAGACAGGAAGGUGGGGAUGGCCAGGCUAGUAUGGAUCUGUCAGGGCUAAUGAGUAUAAGGAGCAGAGUAAUGUUUUCAAAUACCACCCAAUAUCUUUUCUGUGCAAUGCAGGUGGGUUCCCCCCCGCCCCUUUUUAGCUUUUCACUAUAAAGACCAAUUGAUGAAAGCAACAAACUGAAGUAAUAUCUAAAGAAAACUUGUUUGAACUUUUUUUCUAGUGAGACUCUUUUUUUCUCCUGAUAACCUAACUUUUCAAUGGUUUUCUUAAAUAUCCCAUAACUGAGUUUUCACACAUCAAGAUCUAACGCUUGAAGAUCAGAUAAGGAGGGGAAAGGACAAAGUUCAGAAGGAAAAAUCUCAUCCAGAGUCUAGAGGAAGAGAACUAGUAAUAAAGCAAGUCUCCUGGAAGUCUGCAGAAGAGCAGGCUCUGGAAAAUUGAAGUCAGUGGGACAAAUUAUCUUCUUUCCCUGUGAGAAACUUCCAGCCUGCCAAUCCUGCCUCCAGUCCAGCCUGGGCAAGGAUCAUUCUGACUGUUGGUGGUGAAAAGAACAUAAGGAGGUAUGAGAGGCAUCCAUUACCCUGAAUUCCUAUUCUUCCAGGCCAGGAAAUUGGUAAGAGGGCUAGGACAGGGAGGUAGGGUGCAGGUGGUGAAAUAUGGAAUCUAGAUGAUUAUUUAUAAAAGAUUUUUUUACAUAAUUAUGGUAAUCUGCCUUUUAUUUGUUAUUUUGUUGAAAAUAUAUUGCUGGUUAUCAUUUAACUUUUAAAUUUGUAUAUGCUUUUUGACAUAUGAUUUUUGACUUAACAUUUCUAUGUAUC
Acinonyx jubatus (cheetah) is the source of this 2693-nucleotide long non-coding RNA. RefSeq lists it as uncharacterized. Lineage: Eukaryota; Metazoa; Chordata; Mammalia; Carnivora; Felidae. The transcript has 4 exons. The record is from RefSeq and is a predicted model, not a curated record.